GAAGCUUGCUUCUCUGAUGUUAGCGGCGGACGGGUGAGUACACGUGGAUAACCUACCUAUAAGACUGGGAUAACUUCGGGAAACCGGAGCUAAUACCGGAUAAUAUUUUGAACCGCAUGGUUCAAAAGUGAAAGACGGUCUUGCUGUCACUUAUAGAUGGAUCCGCGCUGCAUUAGCUAGUUGGUAAGGUAACGGCUUACCAAGGCAACGAUGCAUAGCCGACCUGAGAGGGUGAUCGGCCACACUGGAACUGAGACACGGUCCAGACUCCUACGGGAGGCAGCAGUUGGGAAUCUUCCGCAAUGGGCGAAAGCCUGACGGAGCAACGCCGCGUGAGUUAUGAAGGUCUUCGGAUCGUAAAACUCUGUUAUUAGGGAAGAACAUAUGUGUUAGUAACUGUGCACAUCUUGACGGUACCUAAUCAGAAAGCCACGGCUAACUACGUGCCAGCAGCCGCGGUAAUACGUAGGUGGCAAGCGUUAUCCGGAAUUAUUGGGCGUAAAGCGCGCGUAGGCGGUUUUUUAAGUCUGAUGUGAAAGCCCACGGCUCAACCGUGGAGGGUCAUUGGAAACUGGAAAACUUGAGUGCAGAAGAGGAAAGUGGAAUUCCAUGUGUAGCGGUGAAAUGCGCAGAGAUAUGGAGGAACACCAGUGGCGAAGGCGACUUUCUGGUCUGUAACUGACGCUGAUGUGCGAAAGCGUGGGGAUCAAACAGGAUUAGAUACCCGGGUAGUCCACGCCGUAAACGAUGAGUGCUAAGUGUUAGGGGGUUUCCGCCCCUUAGUGCUGCAGUAACGCAUUAAGCACUCCGCCUGGGGAGUACGACCGCAAGGU
RNAcentral lists this ribosomal RNA (833 nucleotides) under uncultured Staphylococcus sp. RNAcentral's name for it is "bacterial SSU rRNA". It matches the Rfam family "Bacterial small subunit ribosomal RNA", at positions 75 to 894 of the family's 1533-position model. The record is from RNAcentral. Lineage: Bacteria; Bacillati; Bacillota; Bacilli; Caryophanales; Staphylococcaceae.